GAUGAACGCUGGCGGCGUGCCUAAUACAUGCAAGUCGAGCGAACAGACGAGAAGCUUGCUCCUCUGAUGUUAGCGGCGGACGGGUGAGUAACACGUGGAUAACCUACCUAUAAGACUGGGAUAACUUCGGGAAACCGGAGCUAAUACCGGAUAAUAUAUUGAACCGCAUGGUUCAAUAGUGAAAGACGGUCUUGCUGUCACUUAUAGAUGGAUCCGCGCUGCAUUAGCUAGUUGGUAAGGUAACGGCUUACCAAGGCAACGAUGCAUAGCCGACCUGAGAGGGUGAUCGGCCACACUGGAACUGAGACACGGUCCAGACUCCUACGGGAGGCAGCAGUAGGGAAUCUUCCGCAAUGGGCGAAAGCCUGACGGAGCAACGCCGCGUGAGUGAUGAAGGUCUUCGGAUCGUAAAACUCUGUUAUUAGGGAAGAACAAAUGUGUAAGUAACUGUGCACGUCUUGACGGUACCUAAUCAGAAAGCCACGGCUAACUACGUG
Molecule: ribosomal RNA, 497 nt
Filed under: uncultured bacterium
Lineage: Bacteria
Description: partial 16S ribosomal RNA
Rfam family: Bacterial small subunit ribosomal RNA
Source: RNAcentral